Non-coding RNA from Pelobates cultripes (western spadefoot toad), 289 nucleotides. The record is from the annotation of a GenBank genome assembly. NCBI's taxonomy places the organism in Eukaryota, Metazoa, Chordata, Amphibia, Anura, Pelobatidae.
AGGAGCUGAAUGCACACCCAUUUGUCUAAAUCACAAUGUGACAUAUAGCAAGAUGGAGGCAAUCAUAUUGCCAAUUAACACAACAGAAAAAACUCUGCAGCACUGGAUGAAUCCAAUCAGGGUCAAGGUCAGCUCUAAAAAUGUGAAAAUAAAGCAGCAUUGUGUCUAUGCCUAAUGACUUUCUAUGCAAGGUUAUAUACUGACAGCAUAAUAAGGGUGGGCUUUGUCAUUAUCAAGGCUCUGCCACUGUGAUCAGGUAUUUUCUGGUCCACACUGAGAAAGAUUAUAA